AGUGAACGCUGGCGGUAGGCCUAACACAUGCAAGUCGAACGGACGCACAGUAAGCGCUUUCUCUUACGGGUGGCGAGUGGCGGGCGGGUGAGGAAUACAUCGGCAUCUACUUUUUCGUGGGUGAUAACGUGAGGACACUUCCACUAAUACCUCAUACGACCUACGGCUGAGAGCAGGGGUUCUUCGGACCUUUCGCGAUUGAAUUAGCCGAUGUCGGAUUAGCUAGUUGGCGGGGUAAAGGCCCACCAAGGCAACGAUCCGUAGCUGGUCUGAGAGGAUGAUCGGCCACACUGGAACUGAGACACGGUCCAGACUCCUACGGGAGGCAGCAGUGGGGAAUAUUGGGCAAUGGGCGCAAGCCUGAUGCAGCAAUGCCGCGUGGGUGAAGAAGGCCUUCGGGUCGUAAAGCUCUGUUGUUGGGAAAGAAAAGCAGCAGGUGAAUCCCCCGCUGUUCUGACGGUACCCAAAGAAUAAGCACCGGCUAACUUCGUG
Molecule: ribosomal RNA, 492 nt
Filed under: uncultured bacterium
Lineage: Bacteria
Description: partial 16S ribosomal RNA
Rfam family: Bacterial small subunit ribosomal RNA
Source: RNAcentral